UGAGGAAUAUUGGUCAAUGGCCGCAGGGCUGAACCAGCCAAGUCGCGUGAGGGAUGACGGUCCUAUGGAUUGUAAACCUCUUUUGUCAGGGAGCAAAGGGCGCCACGUGUGGCGCUUUGCGAGUACCUGAAGAAAAAGCAUCGGCUAACUCCGUGCCAGCAGCCGCGGUAAUACGGAGGAUGCGAGCGUUAUCCGGAUUUAUUGGGUUUAAAGGGUGCGCAGGCGGAAUGUCAAGUCAGCGGUAAAAUUUCGGGGCUCAACCCCGUCGUGCCGUUGAAACUGGCGUUCUUGAGUGAGCGAGAA
This 303-nucleotide ribosomal RNA is filed under the name uncultured bacterium. RNAcentral's name for it is "bacterial SSU rRNA". It matches the Rfam family "Bacterial small subunit ribosomal RNA", at positions 355 to 656 of the family's 1533-position model. The record is from RNAcentral.